UACGUAGGGUGCGAGCGUUGUCCGGAAUUACUGGGCGUAAAGCGCACGUAGGCGGCUUUGCAAGUUAGAGGUGAAAGCCCAGGGCUCAACUCCGGAAUUGCCUUUAAAACUGCAUCGCUAGAAUUGUGGAGAGGUAAGUGGAAUUCCGAGUGUAGAGGUGAAAUUCGUAGAUAUUCGGAAGAACACCAGUGGCGAAGGCGACUUACUGGACACAUAUUGACGCUGAGGUGCGAAAGCGUGGGGAGCAAACAGG
This 253-nucleotide ribosomal RNA is filed under the name uncultured bacterium. Its description in RNAcentral is "partial 16S ribosomal RNA". It matches the Rfam family "Bacterial small subunit ribosomal RNA", at positions 524 to 776 of the family's 1533-position model. The record is from RNAcentral.